RNAcentral lists this unclassified non-coding RNA (536 nucleotides) under Pyrenochaetopsis sp. 1 NV-2016. RNAcentral describes it as "sequence contains ITS1, 5.8S rRNA gene, ITS2". The stretch from base 181 to 334 matches the Rfam family "5.8S ribosomal RNA". Lineage: Eukaryota; Fungi; Ascomycota; Dothideomycetes; Pleosporales; Pyrenochaetopsidaceae. The record is from RNAcentral.
GUAACAAGGUUUCCGUAGGUGAACCUGCGGAAGGAUCAUUAUCAAAACAGCGGACUUCGGUCCUUGCUGCACCCUUGUCUUUUGCGUACCGUAUGUUUCCUCGGCGGGCUUGCCUGCCGGUUGGACAUUAUCAAACCUUUUUGUAGUUGCAAUCAGCGUCAGAAAACAAACAAUAAUUACAACUUUCAACAACGGAUCUCUUGGUUCUGGCAUCGAUGAAGAACGCAGCGAAAUGCGAAAAGUAGUGUGAAUUGCAGAAUUCAGUGAAUCAUCGAAUCUUUGAACGCACAUUGCGCCCCUUGGUAUUCCAUGGGGCAUGCCUGUUCGAGCGUCAUUUUGUACCCUCAAGCACUGCUUGGUGUUGGGCGUUUGUCCUGCAAAGGACUCGCCUGAAAGCGAUUGGCGGCCAACGUACUGGUGGUAGAGCGCAGCACAAUUUGCGUCUCUCCCCUCUGCGUCGGCGUCCAUGAAGCCUUUUUUCAACGUUUGACCUCGGAUCAGGUAGGGAUACCCGCUGAACUUAAGCAUAUCAAUAA